Molecule: long non-coding RNA, 1868 nt
Organism: Equus caballus (horse)
Lineage: Eukaryota; Metazoa; Chordata; Mammalia; Perissodactyla; Equidae
Source: RefSeq, a predicted model, not a curated record
CUCCAGUCGCCGGCGUAGCGGUUGCUCGGAGGGCUCUCGGGGCCGCCUCGGCCGCGGGGCCGAGUCACUACUUCGGGGCCCGCCAAGGGCAAGUUCAGCGGCGGCUGGCGUUUGGGCCGCAGGCCGCCCGACCUGCUUGUUGCCGAUGGCACCUGUAGAAUCAUGUUCGGCUUGGGUCCAGAGCCUGGUCAGCUAAGAAGCCUGGAUCUUAGAAGAAGGAAUCGGGGAUGUGAAUGUUUGCAACGAUGUGCUGGAAAACAUUUAACAACCGGCUUGCUGUAAACGAAGAAGCAAACAACAAAAAGCAAAAGAAGUCCUGAUUUGUAGUGUGUGCCAACAUCCAUGGUGUAAAUACUCCCAGGGUGGCUGAUGCCACUUUCAUGGCAUCACUGAAGGUGGAGUUGGGAAGAGCUGGCUGCAGCACACCACUGAGUGUCUCAGAGGGAGUCCUAAGAGGGUCCAACCCCAUGUGCCCAGCACUGAAAAGGGUAUUUCCCGAGGCAGCCUUUCUUCGGGAAAGCAGGUGGGUCCAGACAGUCCAGUCCCUGGGGGCGAGGGCCAGCUUUGAACAUUUCACUCAAAGCCAUAGUAGGUGUACAAGAAGGAAGAGCUGGGUGGAUGAAUGCACUGCCGUGAUGGCAGAGAUGGUUCCUCAUCAGUUCCUCCUUUAAUCCAUCAAUGACGAGACUUCAGAAUGUCCUGGCUCCUCUGAUGAGACACAUAUUUACACAGUGUCAGUGUGUGAGAGAAGGAUGUGUCACUACACAUUUUUUGGACCAACUAUUUGCUAAUUAAUUAACUCACGAGUUAAAUUAAUUAUAUUCAUCAGAGCUAUCUGACAAUUAGUUAGCUGGAGAAGGACAAUCUGGUGUGAAGGCUCCAUGGAGGGAUCCAUGUCUAAGAUGAUAAGGUUGCAGGUUGGCUUCCCAGAGGAGCUGGUGUUUCAUUUGAGACCUGAGGAAUGAGGAGGGGCUUUCCAGGUGGGCACGUGGGGAAGGCAGCCCAUGUAGAGGAAUCCCAGUGUGGGCAAUAGCAGAGGUGAAGGAGAGAGCUUGGUGCCUUCAAGGUACCAUGCCUGCUGCCGUGUAGCUGGAAAAUAAAGUGUAAGGGAUGGUGGUGGUGAGAGGUGAGCCCAGGUAGUGAAAGGUGAGUCUAGGAAGGGGUCAGAUCAUGAAGGGACUUGAAGCUACUGUACGAGUCUGGGUUUGGCUGGGUUGUAGGGAGAACGACCAUUCUGAUUUUCCUAGGGCUGAUGGAUUUCCCAAGAUGCAGAAAUUUCAGUGCCAAAAAACCAGGAGAAGUCUCAGGUAAAGCAAAAUGAGUUGGUCCUCUAUCCAAUAGGAAAUGGGGAGCCACUGAGGAAUUCUGAGCUAGGGAGUGAUACGAUAACCAUUGGUUGUUAGAAGAUAAUCGGAUCUCAGGUAAAAUGAAGAUCCUGCAGGAAGCCGUCUCUGAACUCUCCCUGGACCAGGUCAGAUCCCAAUUUCCAGGGCUCCCUGCAGUUCUCUUGGGCAAUCACGUUGCUCUUAUAAUGCUGGUUUGAUGUCUGCCUUCCCCAAAGGACAGCUAGCUGGUGAGACCAUGAGCCACACAUGUUGUGUUUACCUAGCACACAGCAUGGCUCAUGGAAAAUGUUCAAUAAAGGUCUGUGGAUGGGGAGCAAAUGCCUGGCAUUGUCAGAAUUGAUACUCGUGCUCCCUAAUUUUUCAAGUAUAAACUGGGAAUAAUGCCACCUUCCCCAUCGAGACUAUAGUAUGAAAUCAUCUGACACAGGACUUGGGGCGGGGAGCUGAAGAAUAAAUGCUCAAGACGUAUUAGUGGAGCACAAGCCAGAAGGGUAAGGCAGAAAAGGAUGAGCAAUCACUAGU